GAUAAACGCUGGCGGCGCACAUAAGACAUGCAAGUCGAACGGACUUAAUUCGAAUGUUUACAUUUGAAAGCGGUUAGUGGCGGACUGGUGAGUAACACGUAAGCAACCUGCCUGUUAGAGGGGAAUAACAGUGAGAAAUCAUUGCUAAUACCGCAUAUGCCAUAAUCAUCACAUGAUGAUAGUGGGAAAGGAGUAAUCCGCUAACAGAUGGGCUUGCGUCUGAUUAGAUAGUUGGUGGGGUAACGGCCUACCAAGUCGACGAUCAGUAGCCGGACUGAGAGGUUGAACGGCCACAUUGGGACUGAGAUACGGCCCAGACUCCUACGGGAGGCAGCAGUCGGGAAUAUUGCACAAUGGAGGAAACUCUGAUGCAGUGACGCCGCGUGCAGGAAGAAGGUUUUAGGAUUGUAAACUGCUUUAGACAGGGGAANAAACAAGACAGUACC
RNAcentral lists this ribosomal RNA (446 nucleotides) under uncultured bacterium. RNAcentral's name for it is "bacterial SSU rRNA". It matches the Rfam family "Bacterial small subunit ribosomal RNA", at positions 28 to 479 of the family's 1533-position model. The record is from RNAcentral.